ACGCUGGCGGCGUGCUUAACACAUGCAAGUCGAACGAUGAACCCGGAGCUUGCUCUGGGGGAUUAGUGGCGAACGGGUGAGUAACACGUGGGCAACCUGCCCCAGACACUGGGAUAACUUCGGGAAACCGAAGCUAAUACCGGAUACGACCACUUCAGGCAUCUGAUGGUGGUGGAAAGUUUUUCGGUCUGGGAUGGGCCCGCGGCCUAUCAGCUUGUUGGUGGGGUAAUGGCCUACCAAGGCGACGACGGGUAGCCGGCCUGAGAGGGCGACCGGCCACACUGGAACUGAGACACGGUCCAGACUCCUACGGGAGGCAGCAGUGGGAAUAUUGCACAAUGGGCGCAAGCCUGAUCUAGCCAUGCCGCGUGAGCGAUGAAGGCCUUAGGGUUGUAAAGCUCUUCAGGGGGGAAGAUAAUGACUGUACCCCCAGAAGAAGCCCCGGCUAACUCCGUG
Molecule: ribosomal RNA, 456 nt
Filed under: uncultured bacterium
Lineage: Bacteria
Description: bacterial SSU rRNA
Rfam family: Bacterial small subunit ribosomal RNA
Source: RNAcentral